GCGUUCAUAGCUCAGUUUGGUUAGAGCACCACCUUGACAUGGGUGGGGGUCGUUGGUUCGAGUCCCAAUUGAACGCACCA
Molecule: transfer RNA, 80 nt
Filed under: Cedecea neteri
Lineage: Bacteria; Pseudomonadati; Pseudomonadota; Gammaproteobacteria; Enterobacterales; Enterobacteriaceae
Description: tRNA-???(gaca)
Rfam family: tRNA
About the family: Transfer RNA (tRNA) molecules are approximately 80 nucleotides in length. Their secondary structure includes four short double-helical elements and three loops (D, anti-codon, and T loops). Further hydrogen bonds mediate the characteristic L-shaped molecular structure. tRNAs have two regions of fundamental functional importance: the anti-codon, which is responsible for specific mRNA codon recognition, and the 3' end, to which the tRNAs corresponding amino acid is attached (by aminoacyl-tRNA synthetases). tRNAs cope with the degeneracy of the genetic code in two manners: having more than one tRNA (with a specific anti-codon) for a particular amino acid; and 'wobble' base-pairing, i.e. permitting non-standard base-pairing at the 3rd anti-codon position.
Source: RNAcentral